RNAcentral lists this ribosomal RNA (556 nucleotides) under Bifidobacterium longum subsp. suillum. Its description in RNAcentral is "bacterial SSU rRNA". It matches the Rfam family "Bacterial small subunit ribosomal RNA", at positions 144 to 714 of the family's 1533-position model. Lineage: Bacteria; Bacillati; Actinomycetota; Actinomycetes; Bifidobacteriales; Bifidobacteriaceae. The record is from RNAcentral.
GUUCUCCUGGAAACGGGUGGUAAUGCCGGAUGCUCCAGUUGAUCGCAUGGUCUUCUGGGAAAGCUUUCGCGGUAUGGGAUGGGGUCGCGUCCUAUCAGCUUGACGGCGGGGUAACGGCCCACCGUGGCUUCGACGGGUAGCCGGCCUGAGAGGGCGACCGGCCACAUUGGGACUGAGAUACGGCCCAGACUCCUACGGGAGGCAGCAGUGGGGAAUAUUGCACAAUGGGCGCAAGCCUGAUGCAGCGACGCCGCGUGAGGGAUGGAGGCCUUCGGGUUGUAAACCUCUUUUAUCGGGGAGCAAGCGAGAGUGAGUUUACCCGUUGAAUAAGCACCGGCUAACUACGUGCCAGCAGCCGCGGUAAUACGUAGGGUGCAAGCGUUAUCCGGAAUUAUUGGGCGUAAAGGGCUCGUAGGCGGUUCGUCGCGUCCGGUGUGAAAGUCCAUCGCUUAACGGUGGAUCCGCGCCGGGUACGGGCGGGCUUGAGUGCGGUAGGGGAGACUGGAAUUCCCGGUGUAACGGUGGAAUGUGUAGAUAUCGGAAAAGAACACCACAC